RNAcentral lists this ribosomal RNA (492 nucleotides) under uncultured bacterium. Its description in RNAcentral is "partial 16S ribosomal RNA". It matches the Rfam family "Bacterial small subunit ribosomal RNA", at positions 29 to 507 of the family's 1533-position model. The record is from RNAcentral.
AGUGAACGCUGGCGGUAGGCCUAACACAUGCAAGUCGAACGGCAGCACAGUAAGAGCUUGCUCUUACGGGUGGCGAGUGGCGGACGGGUGAGGAAUACAUCGGAAUCUACUUUUUCGUGGGGGAUAACGUAGGGACACUUACGCUAAUACCGCAUACGACCUACGGGUGAAAGCAGGGGAUCUUCGGACCUUUCGCGAUUGAAUGAGCCGAUGUCGGAUUAGCUAGUUGGCGGGGUAAAGGCCCACCAAGGCGACGAUCCGUAGCUGGUCUGAGAGGAUGAUCAGCCACACUGGAACUGAGACACGGUCCAGACUCCUACGGGAGGCAGCAGUGGGGAAUAUUGGACAAUGGGCGCAAGCCUGAUCCAGCCAUACCGCGUGGGUGAAGAAGGCCUUCGGGUUGUAAAGCCCUUUUGUUGGGAAAGAAAAGCAGCAGGUUAAUACCCCGCUGUUCUGACGGUACCCAAAGAAUAAGCACCGGCUAACUUCGUG